AGAUCGGUUGUCGUCCAGUCCUUUCCCGUGGCUGAGAUCGAUCGAGAGAGUCAGGGAUCUCUUUGGACUGCUGUUUGGCCUCUAAACUUUCGAGAGAGCUGGUUUGGACUUGGUUGGUUGGUGGUGCA
Molecule: non-coding RNA, 128 nt
Filed under: Chromera velia
Lineage: Eukaryota; Chromeraceae
Source: RNAcentral